RNAcentral lists this unclassified non-coding RNA (331 nucleotides) under soil metagenome. RNAcentral describes it as "partial contains 5.8S ribosomal RNA, internal transcribed spacer 2, and large subunit ribosomal RNA". The stretch from base 1 to 120 matches the Rfam family "5.8S ribosomal RNA", at positions 35 to 154 of the family's 154-position model. The record is from RNAcentral.
GAUGAAGAACGUAGCGAAAUGCGAUAAGUAAUGUGAAUUGCAGAAUUCAGUGAAUCAUCGAAUCUUUGAACGCACAUUGCGCCCCCUGGUAUUCCGGGGGGCAUGCCUGUUCGAGCGUCAUUUCACCACUCAAGCCUCGCUUGGUAUUGGGCAACGCGGUCCGCCGCGUGCCUCAAAUCGUCCGGCUGGGUCUUCUGUCCCCUAAGCGUUGUGGAAACUAUUCGCUAAAGGGUGUUCGGGAGGCUACGCCGUAAAACAACCCCAUUUCUAAGGUUGACCUAGGAUCAGGUAGGGAUACCCGCUGAACUUAAGCAUAUCAAUAAGCGGAGGA